Orcinus orca (killer whale) is the source of this 1918-nucleotide long non-coding RNA. RefSeq lists it as uncharacterized. The transcript has 4 exons. NCBI's taxonomy places the organism in Eukaryota, Metazoa, Chordata, Mammalia, Artiodactyla, Delphinidae. The record is from RefSeq and is a predicted model, not a curated record.
UCCGUCCUCUGACUUGACCCGCAGGAUUCAGACCCUUAGAAGGCCACAGCAGGGGGUCCCCAGCCCUCCCAAGUGCUGUUAUUUGUCCUCAGUGUCUGGCCCACCAUGGCCUCGUGGUCCCUGCCACAGACACUGCCUUCAAGGGAUGCUUUGACGACUGCUCAGAGCAGCCCCUGCCAGGCUAGGAGGAGCUGAUGCUGGAAGGGAGGGCCGAGUGAGAAGCCUGGGGAGUAUGAGCUUCCAGAGGGUCACACUCCCGGUCCAGGAGGCGCCAGCGUGGACUUGGGCCAGUCAGACCUGCUGAAGAAGCCGGUGAUCAGGAGAAAGGCUCGUUGGUCCCAUUUCACAGAUGAGGAAGCUGAGGCACUGAGAGGUUUUGAGGAAACUGGGGUCCAGAGAGGGGUAACUUGCCCAGGUGGCUUGGUGUGUGGGAUCCAGGCCCCGAAGACACAGCCUUUGCUUCUCUGGGUCUUCGUGACGUGAAGGGGCUGAACUCGGCCGUGUUCAAACUAACCCCCAGCCCCUGCUGGCUUCCCGCCACCUAUCUCCCACCAGGGGCCUGGGAAAGGAAGCCUUACUCCCAGGUGCCCUUGUCACUUUUUCCGUGCUCAUUUGCAUGUGCCGCUCUCUGUGCUGAGGCCACCUUUGCUUGGGGUCACUGUGGGGAUGACCUUGGGUGGAGCUUCCUGUGGCUGGCUCUGUCUUCUGCUGCAAGGCAGACCACGAAAGCCACACCAGGUGGGGCUCUGGGGGUCACAUAGCCGCCUCCGUGGCCUGCAGCACCUGGUCCUUGUCGGAGGAGAUAAGCCCUGGGGCCCCUCUGCCUCCCCUCCAGGCCCCCCUUAUGCCGCAGUAACAGAGCAGUCUCCGGCAGGACGGCCGGAUCCCCUCCUUUCGCCCCUCACCUGCCCGAGAGCCUGAAGCUGGCUCUUCACUUCCUCCCAGGACCAACCUAAGUUCAGCCUUGAUCUAUCCAUCUUUCAUGAUCUGCCAUUGCCCUUUGACCCUUUAGGCCAAGUUUGUUCCUCCGUCCUCUCGCCUCACUCCCACAUCUCCACCUUUGCUUCCGCCAUUGCUCCUGCCUGCAGUUUCAGUCCCUGUGGCCCCUCCCAUCUGCUCAAGUCAACACUUUCAGGAUUCCUUUAAGGCGAGCAGAAGCUCCCCCUUCUCCCGGGCUGGCUUUUCAGUGGUAGUGCCACCCUCUGCCACUACCACGUGCCACUUCUCCAGUCUCCUCCCAUACCCAGUGCCUCUGCUACGCUCCCUGCCCUGGGUGACAGCUGCUGCAAGCAGGGCUUGGAACGGCUUCAGGAAAGGUCCGAGUGAGAGGCCACCCCAGGUGCAACAGCUCUGUCCUGUAAAUGCCACACACAGGUUCCCCGAGAGAGUGGAAGCAGGUCACAGGCACAGCGGAAGGGAGCGUGUGGGCUCCUGACCAUGAAGGCUGUGAGACUCACCCGACAGGUGCCUCUCUGAGAUCCUGACCAUGGUCUUUGGUCCCAGUGCCCUGGCGGGCCAAGGUGCAGCCCCCCUGGGCAGAGAAAUCAUUGCAACCAUCUCUAAACGACUUCGGCAGCCGGGUCCUUAUUCUAAUAAUUAUGGUUACCAUGCACAGCUUUAGAUGCAAGCUUAAGAUGUAAGUUAACACUUACAAUAGCCCAUGAGGCAGGGCAGAUGCCAAGACCACUCUUCCCUCUUUCCGAUGGGGAACUCCGAGUCGUCUGGUUGGGUAGCUCCUGAAGGCUGGUCUCCAGGUGGGUCCUCAGCUCCCAGAUCCCAUUCUCUGUCUAUUAUAUAUGCCUCCCCCUCGGACCCUUAGCAUCGCAUAGGGCUGUGGCCCCAGAAACAGAAGGGCCUUGGUUGAAGUUCCUGUCCCUGCACUCACUACCAGCUGGGUGGUCGUCGGCAAGUCCUGUCA